CAAGUUUUCUUCUCUUAUCUCUCUUUCUCUCUCAAAUUCAAGAUUAAUAAUCAACCAGAAAGAAAUGGUAGUCUUCCUUUUCAAGCUGAUUUUCUUUGCUGUAAACACAAUCUCAAAUCUCGUUUCACGCUUAAUCUUCACUGUUACAGCUUACCUUCUAGUGUUGAUCAUCCAAGCUUUCAAGGUACCUGGUGAAGCUGCCCAUGGUGCACUUCAACAGAUUGCAGAGGCUGUCAAGGCAUGUUUUGAUUACAUGUUGGAGCUAAUAAUAGAGGCAAUAAGUAGUUUAAUAUCUAGUGGUUUUGAUCUUCUUACAGAAGCAGUUACGGGUUCUGCUGCUGUUACAGGGUCGGCUAUUGGAGUUGUAGUUGAGAAGACAAGAUCAUCUCUUGACGGGUUGUUGAAAGAUUUACCUGAGCUUGCUGAUAGUUUCUCAGAGAUGGUUUCAACCCUGGUCACAGAUUUGUGGAAUAACUACAAGGAAGCUGUGGGAUAUGUCACUGAAAAUGCUUAAUUGAUUAUGUAGUACUUUUACCUUUUUUUUUUUUUCCUUUCCUUUUGGGUGGUG
RNAcentral lists this unclassified non-coding RNA (568 nucleotides) under Hevea brasiliensis (rubber tree). The record is from RNAcentral. Lineage: Eukaryota; Viridiplantae; Streptophyta; Magnoliopsida; Malpighiales; Euphorbiaceae.